Molecule: long non-coding RNA, 2882 nt
Organism: Cyprinus carpio carpio
Lineage: Eukaryota; Metazoa; Chordata; Actinopteri; Cypriniformes; Cyprinidae
Source: Ensembl
UUUCUAAAAAUUUUACAUUUUCAAAUGAAUCUCACAAAAUUUGCAAAUCAUAAAAUAGUUGCGUUUUCUCAUGGGAUUGUGUUAUUUGUUUCUAAAGUGAUCUCUGUGUUAUUUGAGACUGAAAACUUUUGUUGGAUGGUUGGUGGGUUGGUUUGGUGAUGAUGGGAACCAGACUGAGCAUUUAGUCAGAUCAGCUGUUGAGAUGAACUUACAACCUAGAGUCCUAAUGAAAACCACAUGCAGAUGGCAACUGAUGGAGGUUUUUCCCCUCCAUUAUUCAUUUCAGUUGCUCUUUCGUUUGCCAUUGCAAAUGAUUGUGGUUUUCUUGGGUGUUACUGGCAGACCUGAACUUAGUCAUAAUGUGUGUGCCACCGUUCACAAUUACGUCUUUGCAGCCUUGGUGUCGCCAUCUUUUCUGUGGAACAUUUUUGGUUACUAUGUUCUAUAACAUAGAUCCAGAUUUAUUUUCAUUUUAUUCUAGCCUUUAAAUGUUUUGAGUUUCAGAAUAAUGUUUUGCUUCGUUUUGUUUUUUUGAAGCUGGGCCCCAGAUGGGCCCACUGUCUAUUACUUGAACUCUUGCAUCACUCACCAUUGAAUGUCUUUAAUACAUAGAUGCAUUUAUUAAUACACAGGAAAUCCCUUUUAUGGCAUGAGUGGAUUGAGUAUAAAACGUGUCUGAAUUUGUUUAUUCUUAAGACUGGAACUCAACUUGUGUGUUUUGUUGAAAGUAAAGGGGCUUAUGUUCACAGAGCUCCAAAGUGAUUAUUGGAGUCCAGUAUAGCACACAUCAUAUUUGAAGAGUUUUAGAGUCAUUUACUAGACUGGUCACAAAGUUAUUUUAUGUUAAACAAUUCAGGCCAUGUUCGUACAUGAUACGGAUUGAAGAAUUGUUUUGAGAAGAAAAAAAAAAGUUUGAAUUACUUUUUGUUUUUCCUAGGCAUUGAGACCAAAGAUUUAAGUUUGGUUUGUUUUAUUUUCUUAAUUUUGUGUCUUAGUUUUUGGGUUGCUAUCGCUAGCCCCUCACUCGUCUGGCAAAAUAACAAUGUCUUUAUUACUGUCUGUAUAUUGAAGGGUUCACUGUGGAUUGGUUGGUGGUCCAUUUUUUGCCAUUUAAAACUGAUGACAAUUUGUUUACCUAAAUGAAAUGUAGUUUUGUUAAGCCUCAAAGUGAACAGUCUGCCCUAAAGCUAGUUCAUUUUUGCACUCACUUAUUUGUAAAAGCUAAAUGCUGUGUGUGUGUGUGUGUGUGUGUGUGUGUGUGUGUGUGUGUGUGUGUGUGUGUGUGUGUGUGUGUGCGCGUGUGCGCGUGUGCGCCAUCAAAGUUGUUAUUAAUUUGUCCGUUAGGUCACUAAACCAACUCUAAAGUUACCAAAAUCAAGUGUUUCUAUGACUCUUUUCUUUACAGAAUAGUCUUGCAUUCAGCUGCAGUCAUUGUUGCUUUUUCUUUCUGUGUUGUAAAAUCCAUAUAAAGAAAACCGACAACCCUAUACCACAGAAAUGUAUGGUCCGUUUAGGAAAAAAAGUGAUUGUCAUUCUCUGCAGGGCAAAAAGCAGUAGGGUUUGUUGGCUUUCUUUGUUCCUAUACUCAAGAAAGCAUGAAAUAUUAUGUUUUUCUUCUAAAAGGUUUCAGGGACAUAAAAAGCAUUGCAUUGGGAAUUCAUAUGAGAGACAUUUACUAGAGUGCUUUUUUUUUUUUUUGUAUUGAAGUGGGAAUGGGGGAAGCUCACACAUUAUAACAAGCCGGCAGAAUCAACAGUGCUUUGCUUCAAAAGCUCAGAGGGUUUGGACAUGUACCAAAACAACCUUUCUUGACUCAAAGCCGCUUGAGUUUUCAGUUAGACUCUGUACAAAGCAGGUGUUAUUGACUAGAAGACCUGGCUAAGGUUAUUUCCGGACUGUUAACUAGCACUGGCUAUGGCCCCCUUGUGCAGUUCUGCAAAGUUUUAUUUGCAGUCAGGUUUGAAUAUGUUGUGAUUCUCAUUGGGAGUCUCUUGUGUUCUUACCACAGCUGUCCCACCAUGAUAUCCAGCACAUUUCUUAUAUAUAUUAAAAAUAUAACUAACAAAGGUUUUCAAAAAAUGAAAAAGAAAAAAAAAAACUUGCUCUCCUUCCCACUUGCAUGCUUUCUUUGGUACUCUUGACUGUUGUUUUGUGUAAAAAAAAAAAAAAAAAAAAGGUAAAAAAACAAACUGUCAAUGUCUGUUUAUGGUGUAGUCUAAUAUAAAUUUUAAUAUAGCUUAUGAAAAAAGUCUGCUUUUUCAGCUGAAAUAAGUUGGAGCCCUUUGUUGCACUGACUAAAAGCAAAAUGAUGCUCACAAAAACUGAGACAGAGGAGCUGAAGCAAUAGACAACAGUGUGUUCAGUACCAUUUGCACAACCUGUAACGUAUAAAUGUAUCUCACCUGAGACCUUUAAAUGUUUUCUUCACACUCAGACCUUAUUGACUGAAUACUCACUUUUAUUCUGCAUAAAUCUAAAUAUUUCCUUAACACCAGCAGUUUUCAUCUCUGGACUUUUAUAGACUCAGCUUAAGCAAUAAGCCACGGGCUCUCGAAAACAUUCUGCAAAUGAAAAUAAUCGUGUUGCUCCGGUCCAUUUAUGCUUCUAUAGCGAGUGUUUCAUGUCUUAUUAUACAAAUUAUGGCACAAAAGGACAUGAGAUACAUCGCUCUGCAUGUAGAGAACAAAUGUCAGAAAUCCUCUCUCUCAGUAUUUGAAUAUCAUUGUUGCUUCAGACUUAUCGGUAUGCUUCAGUUACGAUUUCCACCGCAAAUCAUUUUCUUGUAUCUGUUACGAUCGUUUGUAUUGGUUGUAGACGCUCCAUUUGUUAUGAGGUGAACUCAUGUAUAUACUCAGUGGAACUCCACAAUAUUCAGUUCUCUU